UAAAGUUUCUAAUGAUAUAUAUUUUGUUAUAUAUGCCUCUUAUUAAGUUGGGCAAAUUGAUGACCUAGGUAUAUGUGCCGGACUUGUAAAGUCUGUAGUGUGAAAUAUCUUGUGACUGGUAUAUGAUAUGAAUGUUCACAUCAACUGCCCCUCCAGGACAAUCAGUUUAUAUAUCGCCGCCAACUGGGUUCAUUCUAAUCAUUCUUCAUGCAUCAUUAAGCACCUUUUGUCUCCCACAUGAAUCCUUAGCACAAACAACGUGAUAACAUAAGUUUACUGCCAAUUGAGUGUGUUCUGUUCAUGUUUCAGAGCCAGCGAGGUUUACCAUCGUUCUCUUAUAUACAUGUGGCUGAGAAAACAAACACGUAUAAAUAAAAAGGACUAUGCUAGCUUGAGAAUUGGAAACAUCAGGAAGAGAACCCUCCGUAAUAUCCGAAGAACAUGUAGUACUGGGAACGGCAUGCCUCCAGGCCCGAGCUUUGCUACAUCUACGUAAAACUCUUACGAAACCUUACGUAACUGCUCACGUGGUCUAAUUUGGUUGGAAGGAAGUAAGGCUCAGGCCCAUCCCGACAGAAUAGGGGGGUGAUUAGGUUAGGGAAGGAAAGAAACGUAACAUUACGUAGUCUAUUUACGUAGGUAGGUGUAGCAUUUUUUUCUCCAGGCCCAUACCGGUAUCCACACCGUGCCCCCAAAUCGCACAAGUGUGUACAGUCUUAAGGACGACCCUUUAUUGCUGAGGACUUUAGUUGGAGAGAAAAGUCAGGUCUGAUGCC
Molecule: long non-coding RNA, 776 nt
Filed under: Hordeum vulgare
Lineage: Eukaryota; Viridiplantae; Streptophyta; Magnoliopsida; Poales; Poaceae
Description: long non-coding RNA (HVUL_LNC017250)
Source: RNAcentral